Molecule: long non-coding RNA, 2099 nt
Organism: Mytilus californianus (California mussel)
Lineage: Eukaryota; Metazoa; Mollusca; Bivalvia; Mytilida; Mytilidae
Exons: 3
Source: RefSeq, a predicted model, not a curated record
AAGAAAUGCCACAAUUGAGUGGGUCUCUAAAAACACUGCAAAGUACUUUCUCAGUAGCAAAAUUUGCCACAAAGGACCACAAAAGAGUAUCAUAAGAGCACAAUGGACAUAACAUAUUCUUCUUUGUAUAGUAAUUUUAACAUUUCUGAAGAAAAAAGUCAAACAUUUAUUUUAUUUUAACAUUUAAAUUGCUAUUAUCUAGUGUAAUCAGCUGCAGCAUACUCAGGCCCUGCAUGUAUUAAACAAGUAUAAUUUUGAAAAUUUGUUUUUUCAGAAAUAUCAAUAAGUACACUUUGUUUAUCAAAUGUUAUCAUGGAGAAAAAUAUAGUAUGUGGUGAUAUAUAUUCAUCCUUUAAAAAUUGUUUGCUAUGAGGACCAUUAAUAUGCAUGUUUAAAAAUGACUUGCAGAGCAUAUCAGAUAAAAAUCUUUGUAUUACGAAGUAAGGUUCGGGUAUAUAUAACACCUACAGUUUGAAAAUCCUUAUGUUGAUAUACACUUUAUUUGAUAAAACAAAUAUCUUAUUCUGAUAAAAGAAAAGAGGUUUCUACAGAAAAUAUUUUACUUUUCAAAUUUCACUAUUCAAUACUGUCAAUUAAUUGUGUGGAUGGUUUAAAAUGACUACCAAUUAAUUACAAUUUGAAAUGGAAAUUGGACUUGGACUUGACAAGUAUAUGUUUGACUAUAUCUGUUGUUGGGUUGCUGUCAUUUGAAAGUAUAACCUACAUUUAUUCCUAUAUAUCAUUCAAGGACACAUUAAAAUUUAACACUUCUCAGUAGUAUUGAGGCCAAAAAUUCACACCUUUUGCCAAAUACAGCUAAGGUAAUCUAUUCUGUGGGUGGAAAAUCUAAGGUAAUCUAUUCUGUGGGUGGAAAAUCUAUGGUAAUCUAUUCUGUGGGUGGAAAAUCUAUGGUAAUCUAUUCUGUGGGUGGAAAAUCUAUGGUAAUCUAUUCUGUGGGUGGAAAAUCUAAGGUAAUCUAUUCUGUGGGUGGAAGAUCCUAAAUACAGCUAAGGUAAUUUAUUCUGUGGGUGGAAAAUCCUAAAUACAGCUAAGGUAAUCUAUUCUGUGGGUGGAAAAUCCUAAAUACAGCUAAGGUAAUCUAUUCUGUGGGUGGAAAAUCCUAAAUACAGCUAAGGUAAUCUAUUCUGUGGGUGGAAAAUCCUAAAUACAGCUAAGGUAAUCUAUUCUGUGGGUGGAAAAUCCUAAAUACAGCUAAGGUAAUCUAUUCUGUGGGUGGAAAAUCCUAAAUACAGCUAAGGUAAUCUAUUCUGUGGGUGGAAAAUCCUAAAUAUAUUAAUCUAUUCUGUGGGUGGAAAAUCCUAAAUACAGCUAAGGUAAUCUAUUCUGUGGGUGGAAAAUCCUAAAUACAGCUAAGGUAAUCUAUUCUGUGGGUGGAAAAUCCUAAAUACAGCUAAGGUAAUCUAUUCUGUGGGUGGAAAAUCCUAAAUACAGCUAAGGUAAUCUAUUCUGUGGGUGAAAAUCCGUAGUAUUUCAAACUAUUCAAAGUUUUGUAAACAGUCAAUUUAUAAAUAUGACCAAAUAAAUGAUAGUUCAUAUGUUCAGUGUACUAGUUUUUUGUUUGUUUGGUUGGUUUGGGGGGGAGGGUAUUUUACCUUAGCUUUUGUUUUAUAUUAUUCAAUAUAUAUAAAUAUAUAUAUACAUAAUAAGAAAUCUUUGAUUAUGGAUUGUCUUGAAUGUACCGUAAUGGCAUGCUUAUCUGUACUGAUUUUGGAACACGGAUUUGUAAAUCUUAAAUUUUCUGUUAUUGAUUUACAGACAAAAUUUGAUAUAAAUUAAUAUUUUUUAUUUGGCUUGAACAUGUUGAAAGGACAUUUAAUUUUCACUAUAAAGUAUUUCAAUUUAGGUCCUGUGUGCACUUAUGAUACUCCUUUGCAGUCCUUUGUGGGAAAUUGUGCACGAUUUAUAUAUAUAUAUAUAUAUAAUGCACAAAAGAGGUCCUUUGCUGUGUUUUUAAGAGACCACAGUUUCUAGAUAAUCCUUUCUUUAAUUAACAAUAGCAUUAUUUUUCAAAAUUUUUUUUGUACUUUUCUUACAUUUAUAUAUAUAUAUAUAUAUAUAUAUAUAGGUCUAUAAAAAGG